GAUGAACGCUGGCGGCGUGCCUAAUACAUGCAAGUCGAGCGAACGGACGAGAAGCUUGCUUCUCUGAUGUUAGCGGCGGACGGGUGAGUAACACGUGGAUAACCUACCUAUAAGACUGGGAUAACUUCGGGAAACCGGAGCUAAUACCGGAUAAUAUUUUGAACCGCAUGGUUCAAAAGUAAAAGACGGUCUUGCUGUCACUUAUAGAUGGAUCCGCGCUGCAUUAGCUAGUUGGUAAGGUAACGGCUUACCAAGGCAACGAUGCAUAGCCGACCUGAGAGGGUGAUCGUCCACACUGGAACUGAGACACGGUCCAGACUCCUACGGGAGGCAGCAGUAGGGAAUCUUCCGCAAAGGGCGAAAGCCUGACGGAGCAAAGACGCGUGAGUGAUGAAGGUCUUCGGAUCGUAAAACUCUGUUAUUAGGGAAGAACAUAUGUGUAAGUAACUGUGCACAUCUUGACGGUACCUAAUAAGAAAGCCACGGCUAACUACGUG
This 497-nucleotide ribosomal RNA is filed under the name uncultured bacterium. RNAcentral describes it as "partial 16S ribosomal RNA". It matches the Rfam family "Bacterial small subunit ribosomal RNA", at positions 28 to 507 of the family's 1533-position model. The record is from RNAcentral.